UUUUUAGACGGAAAGUAAAUCUUUGCAAAAUGCUGUAGAAAUGGAUAAAUACACAUAAUGGGGACAUUUCCCCAUUCCAUGUUUAUUGUUUAUUUCUUCGACAUAGAAAAUGACCAAUUACACAGCCUGUUUUAAAGAUUAUUUUCAUGUGGGGAAAUUUCCCCAAUAUUGUUUAGUGUUCACGUAUGUGUUGUCUUCCUGUAUGGAUGUUUUCCCACUACUUGUAAUUUAAUGGGGAAAUUUCCCCAUUUCGUAUUCUUUUAUCACC
Molecule: long non-coding RNA, 268 nt
Filed under: Mytilus galloprovincialis (Mediterranean mussel)
Lineage: Eukaryota; Metazoa; Mollusca; Bivalvia; Mytilida; Mytilidae
Source: RNAcentral